GUAUAAGGCAAGUAUACUGUGAAACUGCGAAUGGCUCAUUAAAUCAGUUAUCGUUUAUUUGAUGGUACCUUACUACAUGGAUAACCGUGGUAAUUCUAGAGCUAAUACAUGCUAAAAACCCCGACUUUCGAAGGGGUGUGUUUAUUAGAUUAAAAACCAAUGCCCUUCGGGGCUCCUUGGUGAUUCAUAAUAACUUCACGAAUCGCAUGGCCUUGCGCCGGCGAUGGUUCAUUCAAAUUUCUGCCCUAUCAACUUUCGAUGGUUUUGUCUUGGAAAACCAUGGUUUCAACGGGUAACAGAGAAUUAGGGUUCGAUUCUGGAGAGGGAGCCUGAGAAACGGCUACCACAUCCAAGGAAGGCAGCAGGCGCGCAAAUUACCCAAUCCCAAUUCGGGGAGGUAGUGACAAUACAUAUUGAUACAGGGCUCUUUUGGGUCUUGUAAUCGAAAUGAGUACAAUUUAAAUCCCUUAACGAGGAACAAUUGGAGGGCAAGUCUGGUGCCAGCAGCCGCGGUAAUUCCAGCUCCAAUAGCGUAUAUUAAAGUUGUUGCAGUUAAAAAGCUCGUAGUUGAACCUGGGGCUCGGUCGAUCGGUCCGCCUCACCGCGUGCACUGAUGCGAUCGGGUUCUUCUUCCUGGGGAUCCGCAUGCCCUUCACUGGGUGUGUCGGGGAAGCAGGACAUUUACUGUGAAAAAAUUAGAGUGCUCAAAGCAGGCCAACGCUCGCAUAGAUUAGCAUGGGAUAAUAAAAUAAGACGAACGUCCUAUUUUGUAAAUUUCUAGGGCUGUCGUAAUGAUUAAUAGGAUCAGUCGGGGGUGUCUGUAUUGCCUUGUCAGAGGUGAAAUUCUUGGAUCUAGGCAAGACAAACUACUGCGAAAGCAUUCACCAAGGAUGUUUUCAUUAUUCAGUGAACGAAAGUUAGGGGAUCGAAGACGAUCAGAUACCGUCGUAGUCUUAACCAUAAACUAUGCCGACUAGGGAUCGGGCGCUGUUUCUUAUUGACGCAGCUCGGCACCUUACGAGGAAAUCAAAGUUUUUGGGGUUCUGGGGGGGAAUAUGAGUCCGCAAAGAUCU
Molecule: ribosomal RNA, 1073 nt
Filed under: Sclerencoelia fascicularis
Lineage: Eukaryota; Fungi; Ascomycota; Leotiomycetes; Helotiales; Sclerotiniaceae
Description: SSU rRNA
Rfam family: Eukaryotic small subunit ribosomal RNA
Source: RNAcentral